RNAcentral lists this ribosomal RNA (460 nucleotides) under uncultured bacterium. RNAcentral's name for it is "partial 16S ribosomal RNA". It matches the Rfam family "Bacterial small subunit ribosomal RNA", at positions 338 to 795 of the family's 1533-position model. The record is from RNAcentral.
CCUACGGGGAGCAGCAGUGAGGAAUAUUGGUCAAUGGACGCAAGUCUGAACCAGCCAUGCCGCGUGCAGGAAGACGGCCCUAUGAGUUGUAAACUGCUUUUGUACGAGGGUAAACGCAGGUACGCGUAUCUGUCUGAAAGUAUCGUACGAAUAAGGAUCGGCUAACUCCGUGCCAGCAGCCGCGGUAAUACGGAGGAUUCAAGCGUUAUCCGGAUUUAUUGGGUUUAAAGGGUGCGUAGGCGGUCGGAUAAGUUAGAGGUGAAAUCCCGAGGCUCAACUUCGGAAUUGCCGCUGAUACUGGGCGGCUAGAGAGUAGUUGCGGUAGGCGGAAUGCAUGGUGUAGCGGUGAAAUGCUUAGAGAUCAUACAGAACCCCGAUUGCGAAGGCAGCUUACCAAGCUACUUCUGACGUUGAGGCACGAAAGCGUGGGGAGCAAACAGGAUUAGAUACCCGGGUAGUC